AGAGUUUGAUCCUGGCUCAGGACGAACGCUGGCGGCAUGCCUAACACAUGCAAGUCGAACGGAGUUUGUUAUUAGAAGUUCUUCGGGACGGAAGAUAAUAAACUUAGUGGCGGACGGGUGAGUAACGCGUGGAUAACCUGCCUUUUUGUGGGGAACAACUUCGAGAAAUCGGAGCUAAUACCGCAUGAGCUUGUGAAGCCGCAUGGCUUUAUAAGGAAAGAUGGCCUCUGAAAAUGCUAUCGCAAAAAGAUGGAUCCGCGUCUGAUUAGCUAGUUGGUAAGGUAGUGGCUUACCAAGGCGACGAUCAGUAGCCGGCCUGAGAGGGUGAACGGCCACAUUGGGACUGAGACACGGCCCAAACUCCUACGGGAGGCAGCAGUGGGGAAUCUUCCGCAAUGGGCGAAAGCCUGACGGAGCAAUGCCGCGUGAGUGAAGAAGGCCUUCGGGUUGUAAAACUCUGUCCUUAUUGAAGAGAGGUAUUGGUGUGAAAAAUGCUAAUAUAGGACGGUAAAUAAGGAGGAAGCCCCGGCUAACUACGUGCCAGCAGCCGCGGUAAUACGUAGGGGGCGAGCGUUGUCCGGAAUCACUGGGCGUAAAGGGCGCGUAGGCGGUAUAAUAAGUCAGUGGUGAAAACCUGGGGCUCAACCCCGGGCCUGCCACUGAUACUGUUAAACUUGAGUAUGGAAGAGGAGAAUGGAAUUCCUAGUGUAGCGGUGAAAUGCGUAGAUAUUAGGAGGAACACCAGUGGCGAAGGCGAUUCUCUGGGCCAAGACUGACGCUGAGGCGCGAAAGCGUGGGGAGCAAACAGGAUUAGAUACCCUGGUAGUCCACGCCGUAAACGAUGGGUACUAGGUGUUAGGGGUUUCGAUGCCUCUAGUGCCGCAGUAAACACAAUAAGUACC
RNAcentral lists this ribosomal RNA (902 nucleotides) under human gut metagenome. RNAcentral describes it as "bacterial SSU rRNA". It matches the Rfam family "Bacterial small subunit ribosomal RNA", at positions 8 to 868 of the family's 1533-position model. The record is from RNAcentral.